This 341-nucleotide unclassified non-coding RNA is filed under the name soil metagenome. RNAcentral describes it as "partial contains 5.8S ribosomal RNA, internal transcribed spacer 2, and large subunit ribosomal RNA". The stretch from base 1 to 120 matches the Rfam family "5.8S ribosomal RNA", at positions 35 to 154 of the family's 154-position model. The record is from RNAcentral.
GAUGAAGAACGCAGCGAAAUGCGAUAAGUAGUGUGAAUUGCAGAAUUCAGUGAAUCAUCGAAUCUUUGAACGCACAUUGCGCCCUUUGGUAUUCCAAAGGGCAUGCCUGUUCGAGCGUCAUUUGUACCCUCAAGCUUUGCUUGGUGUUGGGCGUCUUGUCACUAGCUUUGCUGGAGACUCGCCUUAAAGUAAUUGGCAGCCGGCCUACUGGUUUCGGAGCGCAGCACAAGUCGCACUCUCUAUCAGCAAAGGUCUAGCAUCCAUUAAGCCUUUUUUUCAACUUUUGACCUCGGAUCAGGUAGGGAUACCCGCUGAACUUAAGCAUAUCAAUAAGCGGAGGA